Molecule: ribosomal RNA, 19 nt
Filed under: Tulipa sylvestris
Lineage: Eukaryota; Viridiplantae; Streptophyta; Magnoliopsida; Liliales; Liliaceae
Also listed under: 11 other names
Description: partial 18S ribosomal RNA
Source: RNAcentral
ACCUGCGGGAGGAUCAUUG